RNAcentral lists this transfer RNA (89 nucleotides) under candidate division WWE3 bacterium CG10_big_fil_rev_8_21_14_0_10_32_10. Its description in RNAcentral is "tRNA-Leu". It matches the Rfam family "tRNA". From Rfam's summary of the family: Transfer RNA (tRNA) molecules are approximately 80 nucleotides in length. Their secondary structure includes four short double-helical elements and three loops (D, anti-codon, and T loops). The record is from RNAcentral. Lineage: Bacteria; candidate division WWE3.
GCCGGGGUGGCGGAAUUGGUAGACGCGCUGGACUUAAAAUCCAGUGAUGCUAAAACAUCGUGUGGGUUCGAUUCCCACCUUCGGCACCA